GUCAUAUGCUUGUCUCAAAGAUUAAGCCAUGCAUGUCUCAGUGCAGGCCUUUACACGGUGAAACCGCGAAUGGCUCAUUAAAUCAGCUAUGGUUUAUUGGAUCGUACCCGUUAAAUGGAUAACUGUAAUAACUCUAGAGCUAAUACAUGCCUCGAUGCCCUGACUCUCCGGCUGCUACUGUCUCUCGUGGUGGUGGUGGUGGUGUGGAGAGGAAGGGUGCACUUAUUAGAUCAGAAGCCAACCUUGUGUAGUCUGUGCGGCGGCGUGUCGCCCGAAACGGCGGUGGCUGCGGCAGACUAUGCAUGCUGACCUUCUGGUGACACUGGAUAAUUGUUACAGAUCGCAGUCGGCCUUAGUCGGCGACGGGUCCUUCAAAUGUCUGCCCUAUCAACUUUCGAUGGUAGGUGACCUGCCUACCAUGGUGAUAACGGGUAACGGGGAAUCAGGGUUCGAUUCCGGAGAGGGAGCCUGAGAAACAGCUACCACUUCCAAGGGAGGCAGCAGGCGCGCAAAUUACCCACUCCCGGACGGGGAGGUGGUGACGAAAAAUACCGAUGCGGGACUCCUAAAAGAGGCUCCGUAAUCGGAAUGAGUGGACUAUAAAUCCUUCACGAGGAUCCAUUGGAGGGCAAGUCUGGUGCCAGCAGCCGCGUAACUCCAGCUCCAAUAGCGUAUAUAAGUUGCUGCAGUUAAAAGCUCGUAGUUGAUCUCGGUAGUAUUGCCACCUGCUGAUUAAUGUGCAGGCAGUUGCGUAGGAGUGUAGCCGUGCGUGUCGGCUCAGCGGCUUAAGGCAUGCUGUGCAGGCAAUCGUACGGACUUCGCCUUAUGGCUAUAGCUGUCUGUAUUCUAUCGGCGCGGUGGCGGUGUCACCUUUAAGCCAUGUCUGUAGUGAGAUACCUACAGGUGUGGGCGGGUGUCAGGCGAUACCCCACACUCGUGGGACUUGUCGGCUCGUUCGCAUGCCUCUGGAUGCCCUUCAAAAGGUGUCUUAGGGCGGAUGGCACGUUUACUUUGAACAAAUUUGAGUGCUCAAAUCAGGCCGAUGUNNNCUNNNAAGUUUNGACUGNNAUANUGNNAUAGNACUNCNGNUCUAUUUCGUUGNUUUUCNGAUCCGAAGUAAUGAUCAAAAGAGACAGGCGGGGACGUUUGUAUGGCUGCGCUAGAGGUGAAAUUCAUGGACCGUAGCCAGACAAACUAAAGCGAAAGCAUUCGUCAAGCAUGUUUUCAUUGGCCAUGAGCGAAAGUCAGAGGCUCGAAGACGAUCAGAUACCGUCCUAGUUCUGACCAUAAACGAUGCCAACUGGCGAUCCGUGGUGGUAGUCAUUUAACCUUCCCCACGGGCAGUCCCCGGGAAACCUUUAAGUCUUUGGGUUCCGGGGGAAGUAUGGUUGCAAAGCUGAAACUUAAAGGAAUUGACGGAAGGGCACCACCAGGAGUGGCAGUGCGGCUUAAUUUGACUCAACACGGGAAAACUCACCCGGGCCGGACACUAUGAGGAUUGACAGAUUGAUAGCUCUUUCUUGAUUUGGUGGUUGGUGGUGCAUGGCCGUUCUUAGUUGGUGGAGCGAUUUGUCUGGUUAAUUCCGAUAACGAACGAGACUCCAGCCUGCUAAUUAGUGCAUCUGUCCACUGCACCUGCGAUGGUAGCAGUUGACGAAGCUGUUCCUAUAACAGCCUGCCAGGGGCUCUGGUGGUAGGUCCCGCUUCUCGCCGUUCGCCUUCUCCUGCCUAGGGUUGGCAGCACUAGUGUCUCUCUCGGGGGAUGCUGGUUGUUGCUCGGCCUCUAGCUCGCAGGGGUUUGGUGGUGAGGGGUGAGCCUCCUCCGCCCCUGGUAGGUACUGGGGAUGCGGCGGGUUCGGUGUUUAUCUCCGGGUACAUGCUUACUUCUUAGAGGACAAGCGGAGAAGCCGCACGAAAUAGAGCAAUAACAGGUCUGUGAUGCCCUUAGAUGUCCGGGGCGCACGCGCGCUACAAUGACGGUGGCAACGAGUCAGACCUUCUGGCCCGAAAGGGUUGGGCAAACUGGUCAAUCACCGUCAUGACAGGGAUCGGGGCUUGGAAUUGUUCCCCGUGAACGAGGAAUUCCUAGUAAGUGCAAGUCAUAAGCUUGCGCUGAUUACGUCCUGCCCUUUGUACACACCGCCCGUCGCUACUACCGAUUGAAUGGUUUAGUAAGGUAUUGGAUUAUGGUGUCUGCCGAGAGGUGGGUACCCGACCGGCGUUGAGAAGACGACCGAACUUGAUCAUUUAGAGGAAGUAAAAGUCGUAACAAGGUUUC
Molecule: ribosomal RNA, 2278 nt
Filed under: Tetrabothrius forsteri
Lineage: Eukaryota; Metazoa; Platyhelminthes; Cestoda; Tetrabothriidea; Tetrabothriidae
Description: SSU rRNA
Rfam family: Eukaryotic small subunit ribosomal RNA
Source: RNAcentral